UGGGGAAUAUUGGACAAUGGGCGAAAGCCUGAUCCAGCCAUGCCGCGUGUGUGAAGAAGGUCUUCGGAUUGUAAAGCACUUUAAGUUGGGAGGAAGGGCAGUAAGCGAAUACCUUGCUGUUUUGACGUUACCGACAGAAUAAGCACCGGCUAACUCUGUGCCAGCAGCCGCGGUAAUACAGAGGGUGCAAGCGUUAAUCGGAAUUACUGGGCGUAAAGCGCGCGUAGGUGGUUCGUUAAGUUGAAUGUGAAAGCCCCGGGCUCAACCUGGGAACUGCAUCCAAAACUGGCGAGCUAGAGUAGGGCAGAGGGUGGUGGAAUUUCCUGUGUAGCGGAGAAAUGCGUGGAUAUAGGAAGGAACACCAGUGGCGAAGGCGACCACCUGGGCUCAUACUGACACUGAGGUGCGAAAGCGUGGGGAGCAAACAGG
RNAcentral lists this ribosomal RNA (429 nucleotides) under Pseudomonadota bacterium. RNAcentral's name for it is "Proteobacteria bacterium partial 16S ribosomal RNA". It matches the Rfam family "Bacterial small subunit ribosomal RNA", at positions 355 to 776 of the family's 1533-position model. The record is from RNAcentral. Lineage: Bacteria; Pseudomonadati; Pseudomonadota.